UACGUAGGGUGCAAGCGUUAAUCGGAAUUACUGGGCGUAAAGCGUGCGCAGGCGGCUUUGCAAGACAGAUGUGAAAUCCCCGGGCUCAACCUGGGAACUGCAUUUGUGACUGCACAGCUGGAGUGCGGCAGAGGGGGAUGGAAUUCCGCGUGUAGCAGUGAAAUGCGUAGAUAUGCGGAGGAACACCGAUGGCGAAGGCAAUCCCCUGGGCCUGCACUGACGCUCAUGCACGAAAGCGUGGGGAGCAAACAGG
RNAcentral lists this ribosomal RNA (253 nucleotides) under uncultured bacterium. Its description in RNAcentral is "partial 16S ribosomal RNA". It matches the Rfam family "Bacterial small subunit ribosomal RNA", at positions 524 to 776 of the family's 1533-position model. The record is from RNAcentral.